CCAAAAUUUGGUUUUAAGAAGAUUGUCAGUUUGCACAUUUGCUUAUUUAUUUCAGUUCUCCUAAUUUGAGAUGUGUAAAGUAAUAUUAAUACAACCUGGUGCAGUUAUGUUUAUACUUAAUAUUCUAGAUGUGAUUCUUACAAAUUUCAGGACAAUUUAAACCUUUUUAUUAAGUCACAUUCCAGACCAGGAGAAAGGAGGCAAUAAUCUGUUAGACUCCCAUUCUGCUGUCCACCCCUGCCCACCUCACCCCCAAAUGCUUUCCAGCAGUGUCUGCCCCAGACGCCUUAAGAAACUCCAGUUUCUUAUUUUUCUUCUCUGGCUCAUUUGUUGUGGCUCAAGGCAAAUACAAGAUUGAUUACUGUUCCAGUUUCAGCCAAGACAAUAUGAUGUCCCUCAAUCCUCCCUUUUUCUUCCACCGCGUACAUACCUGAGAGGUUUAAAAGGCUUCAAGCAUCCAGGGAUAAAAUAAGUUCUCCAGUGAAGGGCCAGUAGGAAACAGAAACUGGGGUUGCCCUGCUCCCAAACUUGAAUGCCCUGGGUAAUUCCAGUGGGGUUUUAAAAACCUGUUGUUGCCAGGUGUGGUGGCACACGCCUGUAAUCCCAGCACUCAGGAGGCUGAGGCAGGAGGAUUGCUGUGAGUUUGAGGUCAGCCUGAACUACAGAGCAAGACCCUGCUUCAAACAAAACCUGUUGGUGAGGAAGACUUCUGUGUGCCCAGCCGCUUGCUCCACCCCCAUGACAGCGCUGAGAGCUGGCCUGUGUGCCUAGAGAGGCUGAAUGUUUCAGAAUUGACCCCUGCUGCAUGUCCAUUACCAGUCUGCAUUGAUGAAAGUGACUUUUCUGCUUCAUGACUGCCAGAAAAGCGUCCUUUAAUGAAUUCCUUUAUCUGCAGAUGGAUGGAGUAUAACUGGGCCAGGAGAGCAUCAGGGAUUCUCAGUCCCAUCUACAGAGGAAACCACAUGGUGCUUCCUCUCGAUCCAGCCCUGCAGCUAGGUCCCAAGCUUUGUUGUUCAUGAGAUUCCCCUAAACAAUUCCCAGCAAAAUACUUGCAUUUAGUUAUACUUCAGAAACAAAUUGCCGGCUAGAUACAGUGCGUCAGGCUUUACAAGAUGCCAGAUGAGAGAAUAGACUCUUAGAGUGGUAGUAAAUUAAAUACUGAUCCACUUACUAAUUUGUUUAAAAACAGUGGUUUCAAAUUGAGAGCCAUUCAUUUCAUAAACUGAAUAGUAAAGAAAAAGUCUGGCCCCUUUAUUACAGUAUAGUACUUCAGUACUUUUAAAGCAAUUUCUGUCUUAGUUGUUUUACCUUUAAAUUCACUCUUAAUAAAUGCUCAGCACAUCUUCGAGCAUUAAGUGGCACCUUCCAGGGAUGCAGCGGGUAUGUCUGAAGGAUGUGCUGACAGUAUGCCCUCCCUGCCCCUCAGGUAUCUCAGCCCAGCAAGAGCAUUCAUAAUGUGUCAUCUCAGUCUGAUUUAUAAAUGUUCCAAGUUGUCCAGUAAACCCCAAAUCUUAAGAUUUUUAAUUAAUCAAAAUUCUUCAUCCUGUUAAGUAGAAAAUAAAGCCAAAUAACCCAGAUUUGUUCGCCCUACUUCAGUUCCUUAGCCCCUAUGUUCAAAAUACUGAAGCCAUCUGUAGUCUGUGUAACAUUUCUAAGAAUAAGAGCUGGCCAAUGGGAAACUUUCCUUGGGGUGGGGAAAAAUAUGCUUACAUUGGCUGGGAAGACGCAGGUGGAGAUGUUCUAGAGCUUAUCUCAGAUUUAAAUAGAUUGCCAAAGGAAGACCUCAUUGCCUUCCGGAUGAGGUGCGGUGUCGUGUGUAGUAAGUAAUGCCCUGUUACAUCCUAACUGCUAAUUAUUGCCUUCUUUGGCCUUUGAGAUCCUUAAAGAACUCUUUGGUUAAAUGAUUAGCCAUAAUUAAAGGUCUCUGGUCAUCGUACUGCUAUUUAUUUCUAAAACACUGUCAAUGACCAGUGCCGUGGUCACUUUCAACAUCACAUUGACAUAAUGCGGAGGAGAAAGUCUCCAUUCCAUUACAAGAGUGUGUUAAGUAAACGCCUUGGCCUAGGAUAAUUUUCAACUCAUUUUACUGAAGAGUCCAAAGAGACUGAGAAACAUGAUGGUAGGCAGGGUCCUCUCCGACAUGUUUCAGUACCUGCAUACCCGCUGAAAGAAAGCAGUGGGUAAGACAUUUCGUAAAGUUGAAGCAAUAGCUUCUUAGAGUCUUGGUUAUUUUAUUUUUUUUUAAUGCUUUACAUUUGAUACAACUAUUAAAGAUCAAUUUUAAAUAUAGCUUUCCAGUAAUAUAUUUUAAGUAAUAUAUAUUUUAAUAUCUAUGUAAAAAGUGACAGAGGAGGACUGAAUUUCUCACAUAUGGAAUGUUUAAUGUAAGACCGCACUGUUAAGGUACACAUUAUUUCAAGGGAAGUUGCUCUAAAGAUACUCAGAUUAUUUCCCAGAAAUGCAAUAAGGGGGAUAGUUUUGGGGUUUAUUUUUUAUUUUAAAUGGAAAUUGACUUAUUUACCACAAGCUAUUUUUUCCUUCUGGCUAUAAGGUUUGUACAGACUGGUUUGGUAAAUGCUGAACUUUUGUGUCUUGCCUUUUUCAAGGAAUUGUUAACGUUGGAAUUGAGGGUAUGUACAGAGAAGCUGGUGUCAGCACCAUUUAAUAAGGCG
Heterocephalus glaber (naked mole-rat) is the source of this 2672-nucleotide long non-coding RNA. The record is from Ensembl. Lineage: Eukaryota; Metazoa; Chordata; Mammalia; Rodentia; Bathyergidae.